AGGUGGUGCAAAAGUAAUUGUGGUUUUUGCACUUACCUUUAAUGGCAAGACCAGCAAUUCUUUUUGCACCAACCUAA
MicroRNA precursor from Cercocebus atys (sooty mangabey), 77 nucleotides. NCBI's taxonomy places the organism in Eukaryota, Metazoa, Chordata, Mammalia, Primates, Cercopithecidae. The record is from Ensembl.